GAUGAACGCUGGCGGCGUGCCUAAUACAUGCAAGUAGAACGCUGAAGGAAGGAGCUUGCUCUUUCCGGAUGAGUUGCGAACGGGUGAGUAACGCGUAGGUAACCUGCCUGGUAGCGGGGGAUAACUAUUGGAAACGAUAGCUAAUACCGCAUAACAGUAGAUGUUGCAUGAUAUCUACUUAAAAGGUGCAAUUGCACCACUGCCAGAUGGACCUGCGUUGUAUUAGCUAGUUGGUGAGGUAACGGCUCACCAAGGCGACGAUACAUAGCCGACCUGAGAGGGUGAUCGGCCACACUGGGACUGAGACACGGCCCAGACUCCUACGGGAGGCAGCAGUAGGGAAUCUUCGGCAAUGGACGGAAGUCUGACCGAGCAACGCCGCGUGAGUGAAGAAGGUUUUCGGAUCGUAAAGCUCUGUUGUAAGUGAAGAACGAGUGUGAGAGUGGAAAGUUCACACUGUGACGGUAUCGUACCAGAAAGGGACGGCUAACUACGU
RNAcentral lists this ribosomal RNA (496 nucleotides) under uncultured bacterium. RNAcentral describes it as "partial 16S ribosomal RNA". It matches the Rfam family "Bacterial small subunit ribosomal RNA", at positions 28 to 506 of the family's 1533-position model. The record is from RNAcentral.